RNAcentral lists this small RNA (187 nucleotides) under Acidovorax sp. RNAcentral's name for it is "Manganese sequence". It matches the Rfam family "Manganese Mn2+ riboswitch aptamer (yybP-ykoY)". From Rfam's summary of the family: This RNA was originally discovered in E. coli during a large scale screen and was named SraF. The family was later found to exist upstream of related families of protein genes in many bacteria, including the the yybP and ykoK genes in B. subtilis. Lineage: Bacteria; Pseudomonadati; Pseudomonadota; Betaproteobacteria; Burkholderiales; Comamonadaceae. The record is from RNAcentral.
CGACGCGUCUUUGGGGAGUAGCCCGCCCGGCCGCGCAAUGCGCCGGGGGCAUGCGUCAACACACUUGGGCUCUGUGAGCCUAUGGCGUAUGCGGUUUUUGAGCUGGGCGAGACCAUUGACUGCACGCCGAUCCCAAUGGCCGGAGUCGGUGCGCAGUCAAUGCGUUUUCCACCCAUCCGGCCGGACA